This 176-nucleotide unclassified non-coding RNA is filed under the name uncultured Phaeosphaeriaceae. Its description in RNAcentral is "sequence contains ITS2". Lineage: Eukaryota; Fungi; Ascomycota; Dothideomycetes; Pleosporales; Phaeosphaeriaceae. The record is from RNAcentral.
CAACCCUUAAGCCUAGCUUAGUGUUGGGAAUCUACUGAAGCGGUAGCUACUCUGUAGCUUACCCUGUAGUUCCUUAAAUCCAGCGGCGGAGCGGCAGUGUCCUCUGAGCGUAGUAAUUUAUUCUCGCUUUUGUAGGUGCUGCUUCUAUAGCCGUUAAACCCCCAAUUUUUCAAUGG